CGAAAGUGAGUUUUAAGUCUGCCUCCGAAGCCUAAACUUUGGCUUCCGAAAGCGAGGGACAGAGACGAAAGUCCCACAUGUUCGGCCGCCGAACUUUGACUUUAGACCGCCGAAAGUUCAUUUUUAAAGGAUGAUGUUCUUCACCUCAAAUGGUUCGGCCGCUGAACUUUAGCCUUAGGCCGCCGAAUCUGAGUUUUUCUGAGCACGAUAUAACGGUUAUUUCUGAACAUAAACGGCUCUAUUUGCAUUUAAUGCACCUCCAACGGCCAUAUUUAUGACUGAACUAUAAAUACAAUGAGUUUUUGAUAUGAAAAGGUUACAACAACCAUCUAAGCAAAUACUUAUUGAGAUUAAAGCAUUUUUCACUCUCUCUCUCUCAAAAC
Molecule: long non-coding RNA, 383 nt
Filed under: Manihot esculenta (cassava)
Lineage: Eukaryota; Viridiplantae; Streptophyta; Magnoliopsida; Malpighiales; Euphorbiaceae
Description: long non-coding RNA (MESC_LNC007708)
Source: RNAcentral